GAUGAAGAACGCAGCGAAAUGCGAUAAGUAAUGUGAAUUGCAGAAUCCAGUGAAUCAUCGAAUCUUUGAACGCACAUUGCGCCCGCCAGCAUUCUGGCGGGCAUGCCUGUUCGAGCGUCAUUUCAACCCUCGACCUCCCCUUGGGGAGGUCGGCGUUGGGGACCGGCAGCACACCGCCGGCCCUGAAAUGGAGUGGCGGUCCGUCUGCGGCGACCUCUGCGUAGUAAUACAGCUCGCACCGGAACCCCGACGCGGCCACGCCGUAAAACACCCAACUUCUGAACGUUGACCUCGAAUCAGGUAGGACUACCCGCUGAACUUAAGCAUAUCAAUAAGCGGAGGA
Molecule: unclassified non-coding RNA, 343 nt
Filed under: soil metagenome
Description: partial contains 5.8S ribosomal RNA, internal transcribed spacer 2, and large subunit ribosomal RNA
Rfam family: 5.8S ribosomal RNA (bases 1-120)
Source: RNAcentral